CACGUGACUCGGCUCGGAGGACCCGGCACCAUGGAGACCGCCGACGGUUCUCCUAGAAGGGCCCCGCCCCCACCGGAAGGCGAGGCGGGGACGCCUCUCGGGGAGGCGCGGGCGUCCCUUAGAGGCCUACACUCUCUCCGCGGAAGGCGGGCGUCUCUAUGGAGGGGUCCAAGGGCAUGGUGUGAAGUACCUGCUCCUGACAGCCUUGGCUCGCAAUCCUGUGCAUGCUCAUUACCUACCCUUCUGAGUGGACUGUAUCUGGAAUCCACAAAGAAAGAGAAAGCUUUUGAGGACAAUUGUAGCAAGGCACCAGAGUUUGGCUCCAGCACAUUCUAUUAGCGCACUUCAGUUGCUCUGCNACAAUCCUGUGCAUGCUCAUUACCUACCCUUCUGAGUGGACUAUAUCUGGAAUCCACAAAGAAAGAGGAAGCUUUUGAGAGGCACCAGAGUUUGGCUCCAGCACAUUCUAUUAGCGCACUUCAGUUGCUCUGCUCACCCUCCCUGAUCCCAGUGCAGGACCUGCAUCUUGCUCAUUGUCUCCACCAUCACGUUGCCUUGGAUCCUUUGCCGUUCUCAAGAAAUCGUUCAGACUUCUUGGGUUCACAUGGAGCUCCUGACCUUUGCUUCCAGACCCCAUGUUGGGCAGAUGAAAAAGGCCAGAGGGGAGAGGAGGACUGGACAAAGCAGACACAGCAUCGAUGUUUGCCUCAUGCUUCUUUUUUCCAUCCUCACGCCUUCUUCCUAGAACCUCCUGCCCUUUCCACAGAUGAAGCUCCAGAAGUGCCCAUCACACUACUGAGGACUAACAUAUUCUCAUCCCAAGGCAGCUUUUCACUUAAGAUCGAGCCAGCCAAUAUUGACUAUGAGCUAUGUGUCUCCUAAGGGUCAGGGAUACAGUAAAGAAUAACACAGUUUCUACCCCUGAGCUGGUCACAGAUGGGUUCUGUUAGGUGAUAUGAUGAGGACUGGAACACAAAAGAGCAGUGAAUUCAGGUAGCGGGCGGGAGUUCAGGAAAAGAUGUGCAGAGAGCCAGUAAACUAGACCUGGGAGGCUGGCAGAUAAGGGAGGUCUCUCUAUCUGCCUUUGGGAAUGGGCCAAGAGCAGAGCGUCUGUUCCCUUCAAUGUUAGGAAAUCCUUUAUGGCUCUGAUCUAAAUCCUUUCCCUUGCAGUUUACUUUGUAUUCCCUCUCAUUCCGAUGUCAGGUGAAAUAGCAAAAAUCUUUGCCUAAUAACCUAAUUACUCAGAAGCCUCUAGCACAUCAUAUCUGGUGCUGUACUCUAACAUAGGAAAAACUCCUCCCACCCCAAAACCCUGCAGCUAGACUUCUCCAGCCACUACCCUAGAAAGAGUUUCUGAGUGGUGUCCCCCUACUAGGGCUCUGCCUGGAAGGUGGAGGGAGACCAGGCAAUCAGCUACUGGGGACUCUGCCCCAGAUAACCGCACUUGAAAGAGUCUAUACUAGAAGCAUGUUUCGUGGCAUCUUUACUAAAGACAGAUUUUUUAAAAUGUUUUAUUUAUUUAUUUAUUUGAGAAAGAGAGAGAGAGGCAGAGACACAGGCAGAGGGAGAAGCAGGCUCCAUGCAGGGAGACCGACAUGGGACUCAAUCCUGGGUCUCCAGGAUCACACCCCAGGCUGCAGGUGGUACUAAACCGCUGUGCCACCAGAGCUGCCCUAAAGACAGAAUUUUUGAAGUUAAGUGACUCAGACAAAUAAAGUCCAGUGUUUCACAGCA
Vulpes vulpes (red fox) is the source of this 1734-nucleotide long non-coding RNA. NCBI's taxonomy places the organism in Eukaryota, Metazoa, Chordata, Mammalia, Carnivora, Canidae. The record is from Ensembl.